Molecule: long non-coding RNA, 361 nt
Filed under: Gossypium barbadense (sea-island cotton)
Lineage: Eukaryota; Viridiplantae; Streptophyta; Magnoliopsida; Malvales; Malvaceae
Description: long non-coding RNA (GBAR_LNC006346)
Source: RNAcentral
GGACUUGGAGGAGGUAAUGGACUCGGUGGGCUCGGGGGAUUUGGUGGCUUGGGUGGCGGCGGUGGUGCUGGUGGUGGAGUUGGAGGUGGAGUCGGAGCUGCUGUUGGCGGUGGAGCUGGUGGUGGUGUUGGCACUGGUGUCCUUCCUUUCCCUUGAAGUAUGUUAACCUUAAAAUAGUUUAAACUAUUUUAAUAAAGGUGUAGUUAAGUGUUUAUUGUGUGGGAAUCAGAAACUCAGAAAUCGUCUUACUUUAUGUUUUAAUUUGGCACAUGUUUUUCGUUCAUUUUAAUUCGAGCUCAACGUCAUGUUUUUGUAAUAGAUAUUUUACGUAAAUGAAUUUAAUCUUCUGUUCUAUUCGCUA